RNAcentral lists this ribosomal RNA (497 nucleotides) under uncultured bacterium. RNAcentral describes it as "partial 16S ribosomal RNA". It matches the Rfam family "Bacterial small subunit ribosomal RNA", at positions 28 to 507 of the family's 1533-position model. The record is from RNAcentral.
GGUGAACGCUGGCGGUGUGCCUAAUACAUGCAAGUCGAGCGGACGGACAGGGAGCUUGCGCCUUUGACGUUAGCGGCUGGCGGGUGGGUAAGACAUGGAUCGCCUUCUUAUAUUUCUGGGGGGACAUCGGAGGACAGGUGCUGCUACUGCCGCAUAUUUCCUACGGCUGAGUUCAAUAGUGAUACGUGGCUCGGCUGUUAGUUUUAGCUGAUGCCGCGUCGUAUUAGCUAGUUGGUAAGGUAACGGCCUACCAAGGCAACGAUGCGUAGCUGACCUGAGAGGGUGAUCGGCCACACUGGAACUGAGACACGGUCCAGACUCCUACGGGAGGCAGCAGUAGGGAAUAUUCGACAAUGGGCGCAAGCCUGACGGAGCAAUGCCGCGUGAGUGAUGAAGGUCUUCGGAUCGUAAAGCCCUGUUAUUAGGAAAGAAAAACAGUGUAAGAAAAUGUGCACGUUUUGACGGUACCUAAUCAGAAAGCAACGGCUAACUUCGUG